GACGAACGCUGGCGGCGUGCUUAACACAUGCAAGUCGAGCGGUAAGGCCCUUUCGGGGGUACACGAGCGGCGAACGGGUGAGUAACACGUGGGUGACCUGCCUUUAGCUCUGGGAUAAGCCUGGGAAACUGGGUCUAAUACCGGAUAUGACUCCGCGGUGCAUGCUGUGGGGUGAAAGCCUUGUGCGGCUGGAGAUGGGCCCGCGGCCUAUCAGCUUGUUGGUGGGGUGAUGGCCUACCAAGGCGACGACGGGUAGCCGGCCUGAGAGGGCGACCGGCCACACUGGGACUGAGACACGGCCCAGACUCCUACGGGAGGCAGCAGUGGGGAAUCUUGCGCAAUGGGCGAAAGCCUGACGCAGCGACGCCGCGUGAGGGAUGACGGCCUCGGUUGUAACCGU
RNAcentral lists this ribosomal RNA (400 nucleotides) under uncultured bacterium. RNAcentral describes it as "bacterial SSU rRNA". It matches the Rfam family "Bacterial small subunit ribosomal RNA", at positions 28 to 432 of the family's 1533-position model. The record is from RNAcentral.